RNAcentral lists this ribosomal RNA (637 nucleotides) under uncultured bacterium. RNAcentral's name for it is "bacterial SSU rRNA". The stretch from base 1 to 545 matches the Rfam family "Bacterial small subunit ribosomal RNA", at positions 338 to 873 of the family's 1533-position model. The record is from RNAcentral.
CCUACGGGAGGCAGCAGUGGGGAAUUUUGGACAAUGGGCGCAAGCCUGAUCCAGCAAUGCCGCGUGAGUGAAGAAGGCCUUCGGGUUGUAAAGCUCUUUUGUCAGGGAAGAAACGGUGGAGGUUAAUACCUUCUGCUAAUGACGGUACCUGAAGAAUAAGCACCGGCUAACUACGUGCCAGCAGCCGCGGUAAUACGUAGGGUGCAAGCGUUAAUCGGAAUUACUGGGCGUAAAGCGUGCGCAGGCGGUUGUGCAAGACAGAUGUGAAAUCCCCGGGCUCAACCUGGGAAUUGCAUUUGUGACUGUACGGCUAGAGUGUGUCAGAGGGGGGUAGAAUUCCACGUGUAGCAGUGAAAUGCGUAGAGAUGUGGAGGAAUACCGAUGGCGAAGGCAGCCCCCUGGGAUAACACUGACGCUCAUGCACGAAAGCGUGGGGAGCAAACAGGAUUAGAUACCCUGGUAGUCCACGCCCUAAACGAUGUCUACUAGUUGUCGGUUACUUUAUUAGUACUUAGUACGUACAGCGUACGCGUGAGUAGACCGCCGUGGGUAAGGUACGGUCGCGAGUAAGUUAAACGUUAAAGUUAGUUAGUUAGACGGCGNGAGACGNGACGACGGACGACGACGAGGGAGGAGG